UUUGGCCGGCUUGAGGACAGAUAAGAUACUAAUAUAAGAGUACAGAGAGUACAAAUGCUUACAAAUAAAUUAUCAGCUGAGCCGGCUGAGAGAGAGUUCAUGUAUAUAUGUGUGUGGAUCAUAAAAAGCUAAGAGAAGAAGAGGGAGCGUACAGCCUUGGUGAAAAGGGUAGUAGGCGUCGCAAGUACUUCCACCAUCUAACAACUAAACCGCCCAAAGCUGUACUCUCUCUCUUCUCCAUUUAGCCUUCACGAUAUGAUCGUCUAUCGAUCUCCUUCUCUUAGUUGCUCUAGAAGUUGGAUCCCUCUGGGUUUAU
RNAcentral lists this non-coding RNA (316 nucleotides) under Oryza sativa Indica Group (long-grained rice). Lineage: Eukaryota; Viridiplantae; Streptophyta; Magnoliopsida; Poales; Poaceae. The record is from RNAcentral.